RNAcentral lists this ribosomal RNA (363 nucleotides) under uncultured bacterium. RNAcentral describes it as "bacterial SSU rRNA". It matches the Rfam family "Bacterial small subunit ribosomal RNA", at positions 72 to 422 of the family's 1533-position model. The record is from RNAcentral.
AAGGGGCUUCGGCCCUGAGUAGAGUGGCAGACGGGUGAGUAACGCGUGGGUGACCUACCCUCGAGCGGGGGAUAACGUUUCGAAAGGGACGCUAAUACCGCAUGACAUCCUGUCCUUGGACGGAUGGUGAUCAAAGCUGGGGAUCGCAAGACCUGGCACUCGAGGAGGGGCCCGCGUCCGAUUAGCUAGUUGGUGAGGUAACGGCUCACCAAGGCUCCGAUCGGUAGCCGGCCUGAGAGGGCGGACGGCCACACUGGGACUGAGACACGGCCCAGACUCCUACGGGAGGCAGCAGUGGGGAAUUGUUCGCAAUGGGCGCAAGCCUGACGACGCAACGCCGCGUGGAGGAUGAAGAUCUUCGGG